This 573-nucleotide ribosomal RNA is filed under the name Flavobacteriaceae bacterium Melo66. RNAcentral's name for it is "bacterial SSU rRNA". It matches the Rfam family "Bacterial small subunit ribosomal RNA", at positions 39 to 611 of the family's 1533-position model. Lineage: Bacteria; Pseudomonadati; Bacteroidota; Flavobacteriia; Flavobacteriales; Flavobacteriaceae. The record is from RNAcentral.
GCGGCAGGCCUAACACAUGCAAGUCGAGGGGUAUAGAUAGCUUGCUAUCUAGAGACCGGCGCACGGGUGAGUAACGCGUAUGCAACCUACCUUAUACAGGUGAAUAGCCCGGAGAAAUUCGGAUUAAUGCACCAUGGUUUAAUUUUGUGGCAUCUCAAGAUUAAUAAAGAUUUAUCGGUAUAAGAUGGGCAUGCGUAUCAUUAGCUAGUUGGUGUGGUAACGGCAUACCAAGGCAACGAUGAUUAGGGGUCCUGAGAGGGAGAUCCCCCACACUGGUACUGAGACACGGACCAGACUCCUACGGGAGGCAGCAGUGAGGAAUAUUGGUCAAUGGAGGCAACUCUGAACCAGCCAUGCCGCGUGCAGGAAGAAUGUCCUAUGGAUUGUAAACUGCUUUUGUACGGGAAGAAACAUCGCUACGUGUAGYGACUUGACGGUACCGUAAGAAUAAGGAUCGGCUAACUCCGUGCCAGCAGCCGCGGUAAUACGGAGGAUCCGAGCGUUAUCCGGAAUUAUUGGGUUUAAAGGGUUCGUAGGCGGUUUAUUAAGUCAGUGGUGAAAUUUCUUAGCUUA